GCCCUGAUGGUGUAGACCGGUCUAGCACGAAGCCCUGUCGAGGCUUCAACCCGGGUUCAAAAGGAUACUGGAAGUCCCGGUCAGGGCG
Molecule: transfer RNA, 88 nt
Filed under: Candidatus Woesearchaeota archaeon
Lineage: Archaea; Nanobdellati; Candidatus Woesearchaeota
Description: tRNA-Asp
Source: RNAcentral